This is a long non-coding RNA of Syngnathus acus (greater pipefish), 894 nucleotides long. RefSeq lists it as uncharacterized. The transcript is spliced from 2 exons. NCBI's taxonomy places the organism in Eukaryota, Metazoa, Chordata, Actinopteri, Syngnathiformes, Syngnathidae. The record is from RefSeq and is a predicted model, not a curated record.
UGACAUAAUCACGGGAGAGUCCCCAUGUCACACAACUUUGCGAAAUGAAACUCGCGCUGUUUUCAGGAAGGCCUGCACGUGCUUCUUAUCGAGCAACACGAGACAGCUGCUCGCAAGCUUCUCAAACUGCUGCAGCGUGCAGGUGAGCCGCUGGCUUCGUCUUCCCAAGCUUUUUUUUUUUUUUUUUUUUCCGAAGAGAUAUGUGGGUCUUCACCACGCGACACGUGGAAAAAGAGCUUUCCAGGAAUCGAUCAACGCAUCGGGCGCUUCAUCGUUGAAAUAACUUUCAGGGUUCACGGCUCCCUCUACAGGAGGGUAGUGGAAGUGACAAAUGCGGACAGAGUCGAACGGUGCCGUCAAGCGGUGUCGCGCUGGUGAAAGUAGCGGGAAUGUUUGAGAUGCUCAAAGUUUUGUUUUUUGACUCACGUUGAGAGGAAAUGAUGCAGAUGAGCUCCCAUCUUUCUCAGGUGGCCUUCUCAAGUGGCCCCCCCCACCCCCGCUUUCUUCUCACCGUUUCUCACUUCUGCUCAGCCAAGCCUCCUUUUGACUCACUUUGGCUCCAGAGGUGUUGCACUCUGUGCUGAACAAAGAAGAUUCUUCGUGAGAAGAACUUACAGGAAAGAUGAGACAUUUUUGACAUUUUUCAAUAAGCAAAAGAAAAUAAGUCGCAAAGCUACAUGAUGAGCGUUUUGGUGAUUGUAUGAGAAGAAGAAAAAAAUGUGGCAGACAUUCGAGGUGCUCUUCUCAGAAUGAUGCUUGUCGCAUUUUUACCCAAGGACGUCUUUCAGACAAAAUUCAGCGGCUUCCUUUUUGAACGCACGUGGAGAUGCAAGAUAGCUUUUUGUACAAUCACUUUUAGGUAGUUAUUUAAAAAAAUACAACGACAUCAUCUUC